CUACGGGCGGCAGCAGUGGGGAAUAUUGCACAAUGGAGGAAACUCUGAUGCAGCAACGCCGCGUGGAGGAUGACACUUUUCGGAGCGUAAACUCCUUUUAUAUAGGAAGAAGAUGACGGUACUAUACGAAUAAGCGCCGGCUAACUCCGUGCCAGCAGCCGCGGUAAUACGGAGGGCGCAAGCGUUACUCGGAAUCACUGGGCGUAAAGAGCGUGUAGGCGGAUUAAAAAGUCAGAAGUGAAAUCCUAUAGCUUAACUAUAGAACUGCUUCUGAAACUUUAAUCUAGAAUAUGGGAGAGGUAGAUGGAAUUUCUGGUGUAGGGGUAAAAUCCGUAGAGAUCAGAAGGAAUACCGAUUGCGAAGGCGAUCUACUAGAACAUUAUUGACGCUGAGACGCGAAAGCGUGGGGAGCAAACAGGAUUAGAUACCCUCGUAGUC
Molecule: ribosomal RNA, 438 nt
Filed under: uncultured bacterium
Lineage: Bacteria
Description: partial 16S ribosomal RNA
Rfam family: Bacterial small subunit ribosomal RNA
Source: RNAcentral